UAAGCACUGCAAAGGUGGACUCGCUUCCUCACCAGCUCUGCCCCCCUCCACAGCCCCCCGGGUGCGUGUGUGCGCACCCCUCCCGACAGCCUGACCCCCGAGUCCGUGGCUGACCCCUUUGGGGGGGCCAGGAGGGGACAUGGAGGGCAGGGAGAGACACACGACGACUUGUGCAGGCGCAGCCCCUUUUUCUUUCGCAUCCAGGUGUGCUGCAAUCCGGGCGGGCAAGGUGGCUUCUCCUUAACUCCCUCCUCGCCCGCCGCCGCUGCCGCCAGCACUCCCCGGAGCCUCGCUCCCCUCCCUUCGCUCAGCCUCCUCUGCUCAGCCUCCCCUGCUCAGCCUCCCCUGCUCAGCCUCCCCUGCUCAGCCUCCACCGCUCAGCCUCCGCCGCUCAGCCUCCGCUGCCUCCCGCCGUCCUCCCCCACCCGCCGAGCCGCGCUGCAGCAGCGGGGACGGAGUUGGUGUAGUGGUGCUGAGCGAAGGGGGUGAGAGAUUGGCUAUAAGGAGAAGGCUGACGGCUGCAGCAUGAAGCGCAUUAUUACCUUGUGAUUCCAUGACCCUCCUCUAUGCAUCCCUAACUCUCAAAAGCUGAUUCAGCUUUCAGCUAGUGCUCUGGUGAGUCCUCUGCUGCAACAGAAGCUCCUAACUGGCAUUUUGGGGGUGGCUUAUCUGCAAGGUAGUGUCUCGCUCGUGGUGACCAGCAGAGGAAAAAUCAUUGGAUUCACUAGGUAAGACGCUUUCUUCUUCCUAUGCUUUAAUCUCUACUUACUGAUGGAAGCAAUUGCUUGUCUGUAGCAGAUGAGUUUUCUUGCUCUGGCAGAUAGAGCAGGUCCUUCCUGGUGGUGCUUUGUACAUCAGCAGCCAGACAUUGGAUUCGGGCUUUCUCAAAGCAAAUUGGCUUUUUGUUUCUAAAUUGCAGGGUGGAGGCAAUGGGGAAAUAAUAUUUAUUUAACUUCCCCCAGCAUGUCUUUGUCUAAAAUGAUACACAUGUAUACAUAUGUAUACACACAAAGGAAAUUCCUUCUGCUGAAGCACAUUUUUGCUUUUUUUUAAUUGCUGAAAGUUUGCGGUUCCAGCUGGAACACCCUCUCUGAAGGUGGGCUGGGAGCUGGGUCCCCCCUCUGUGCCAUUUCCGUGACAAAGAGCCCCAAAGAGCAGGGCAGCUGGCCACGCUGCCGGCACUUUCUGCCCGGUGCACAGCCCCCAGCCCCAAAAACCAGAAACCUGCGAGGGCAAAGCUGAGAUCACCAGCAAAUAGCGUGAGCAGGGGAGCAAGGGGGUGUGUGUGUGCAUGUGUGUGUGUGUUCAAACUGUGCCAUAACUCACUCCCGGGAUGUAAAUUGUCCAUCAGCGCUAUUUUCUCCCAUGAACAUAUAAAUGCGCAUAUUGAAACUACCUGCUUGAGAGACAUACUUCUUUAUAUGCCCAUAUGAACCUGGCAAUCUAUGGAAUGUAAAGAAGUAUGUAUUUCAGGUGGGGACCCUUCUCGGAGGAGCGGUGUGUGACCCCGUGUGAAGGGGGGGGAGAAAGACAGACAGAUUUUUUUUUAAUUUAUUUAUUUUUUUAAAUGCCUGACAUGGCAGACUGGCUGGGGAGUCAAUUGAUGAUCUUGUUCCAGUGCGUGUAUUGUUCUGUCACUUUGCCUGUGUCAGCAGGUGGAAAUGCUCAUCAGGACAUUAAAUAUUCAAUAUGCUGACUGCGGCAUGGGCUUUGAAAGGCAAUGCCAGAGGAAGGCUGGCCGUCCACUCCUGGUUUUCAACAGGGAUGCAGGCAGGUCCCUCCUUUUUGCUGCUCCCCCCCAGCCCUUUUUUCCCCCCAGCUAAGGCUAGGUAACAACCCGAGCUGCCUGAUCGUUAAAUCUAGGGGAAAUAAAAGGAGGUGGAGUGGGGGAGAAGAAGAAAGAGAAAAAAGAUACAAGAGUUGUGACUUAGAUGUGCAGUAUUUUGGCUUCACGUGUUUGAAUCUUUCCUGUGUUAAAACUUUUUGUGCUUAAAACUGGAGAGAAGGAAAUCUGUGUCUGUGUGCCAGCAACACACUGCUUGGAAACAGCCCUUGAGUGACUAGGUCACAACUAGAGGCACGGGAGCGCUUUGAACAGAUGCCUGUUAUUUUCCUAGAGGAAAAUAAUAAAAUUAGCUCCUCGGAUUUGGGAAGCUUUUACCGCAUUUUGGUUUUGCUUUUUAACCUUUUGCACCGUGAAAUAUCUGGUUACAUUUCCAGGAUCCCGCAAGAAUGAGGCAAGGUGGUAAAAAUGGGUUUGAUACUCUGGGUGAACAAGUUUAAAUUUCUGUCUGGGUAAGAGGCAAGUAAAGCUUUGAGCCCCAAUCUUCCCCUUUCAGACAAAUUCUUGUCACUUUGGCACCAAACUUCCAAGUCCCACCUGCUCCUGAGCUACCCAAACUUAUCUCCACAACCCCACUGUGCAGACAAGGGCACUGUAAUGUUCUGCUUUUGAGUGAAUUCCCUGCAGUUUCAGCACAUCUCUCUUGGCAAAAGUGCUCCUCGGGCCCUUACCAAGCCUUGAUCCGCCGCUAUUCAUGGCGAGCGCCGCUGUCACUUGUUACACGUGUGCCAAAGGGGAUUUCACUGGAAGCAGGCGCUCAUGAAUAGCAGGUUAGAAAAGGCAGGCUGGGCUCUCAUGGAGAUUUCCUCUGUACAUUAUUCAGUGGGAUUUAAUAAUAGUGGUUUUCUGUUUUUUUAAAUACAAACACCACAGUUGAUGGAUGCGCGCGGAGUGCUCAGCCCCUUCCCGGGAGCAGAGGAUCCGUUCUUUGCUUUGCCAGCGGGCUUUGGGAAGGGACAGUUUGGACAUCAUCCUCUGGGCCCUGGGGACAGUCCCUUAUGUCCCUGGGUCACCUGAGGAUGGGUCCUAGCCACUGUGGACAUCCUGCCCUAUUUUGAGGCCAGAUUUCAGUAAGAAGGGUGUGGAUGCUGGGAAAUGAGCAGAGGCCGGGCACAGAGCGCUGAUGCCCAAGCCUCGCUGCAGUUUCGCUCCCUUGUAAAACAUCACUGGUAGCUUGAGUCACUGGGUGGGAAAUUAGGAUGGUUCUCACCAGUCUGGCCAUGAUACAAAAUUCCCUCCUUUCUCUGAUGACCCUCUACCCCACCUCUUCCCCCUUUCCUUUUUCUCCCUUCUUUCUUUUCCUUCCUUUUUUCCUUUCCAUCCUUUUUUCCGUCUUUUGCUUACUUGUUUUCCCUGUUCUCUUUAUUGCUUGCUUGCUUGCUUUCUGCCUUAUUCUUUUUUCUUUUAUUUCCUUCUUUCCUUGUUCUUUCUCCCAUCCCCUUGUUCUCUAGUCUUGCUUUUCUUCCCUUUCUCCCCCAGUGCAGGUGUCACUAAGCCUCCUCCACCACUGUGCAUUUCUGUAGUGAAGGUGCUCACGGUCUGAUUUACAGCAGAUACCUGCAUUCCUAAUGCAAUUUUUAUCUCCUUCCCACCUCUGAAUUAAUAUGCUUGUUAAUCACACGGAAUUGCUAACUUUAGGAAGUCGCUAAGUGCUCAGAUUUAUUUUUUAUGUAAAUAUUUUCCAAGCCGUAAUUCCGAGUGCUGUCUCACAGCGCGGGAGCACGUGAUGGAGGUUUGGGGGUGCAGGGUGCAUCCUGAGGCCUUGUCCUCUCCCGGGUGAUGUCAAAAAGUAAAUGGGAAUGUAAAAUUAAAUGGGAAUGCCACGGCAGCCCAUUUGCCAAUAGGAUCGGUGGAAGAAAAUGAGGGCUUUGGCCCUUCAGCAAACACUUUGCGCUGUUUCUGCGUUUAGUGGCAGCUCCUUCUCUCUUUUUUUCCCUCUUUGGAUUAAAAAUGGGACUGCUCCUCUGCACUAGGUUCUCUCUGUUUCUCAGCUAUGAUUAAGCCUCUUCUCCUCCGUGCUUCAUACAAGGGGGCUGCGGUGGCGAGGCGAGGCGGGAUGCUCAGCUGUGCCCAACCGCCCUGCACAGCGCGCGCUGAGCAGUGCCGCCCGUGGGAGCAGGAGCGCUGAGGAUUGUAAAAGCCAUAAAUCCAGUGGACCAAAUUAGUUAAAUUUUUCUAUUCUAUGCCUCACAAAACCCAGCCGUUCCCGAGAUGGAUUUUCCUCAUGUAAGCGGAACUAGCGGCAGGUAGAAAAUGGGCAUUUUGCACACGCACAAGGGAGUGUGGGGAUGAAUUCGUGCCGUGCGGUUUUCCCCAGCAUUUUUUUUAUUUUUUAUUUUUUAGUUUUGUGCGUUUCUUUAUGUUGAUGAUCUAUUAUUACUCUUGUUACUAUUACUUAGUAUUGGAAGACAGGUGGUCCAAUAAAUUCCAGCACCCUCUUUUGAAAUAAAAAAAAAGGGGGGGUAUGUUUGCAAUUCAAGUUUAAUAGUGCAUUCAUCAAGAGCAAUAAAGCAUUUUAUUGCACGAGUAUUUCAAGGGAUGUGCUGGCCCUGGUAAAAGCAUUAGUAAAGGGGUGCAUCAGCAAUCUCAUUUAAAACUGUCGACCCAACGUGAAAAAUGUUGCGUUGAAGAAUAAACUGCUAUUAAGCAUGAUUAGAUUGACCUGCAGGACAGAUAUUUUAGCUGCUGCAGCACAAGUCGAUCAAAGUGAGCAUCGCUUAGAUUGCAAAAAAAAAAAAAAAUUUAAUGCCCUAAAUUAAAAAUGAAAGAACCUCGGAAUAUUUAGGACCAGAGAGUGACUUUGGGGGUGAGAUUUGUGUGUUUGAUUCGAAGCGGUUCGGAAAGGUGGGGAAAGGGGAGAACCGUAUUAAUUGCUGCCCCUUUAGCAUACAUUGAAAGUAUGUUACUCGGAUCAACCAAUCAAAAAAGAAAUUGUGCUGACUCAGCACUCGGGCUAGUCUGCACGUCCGAUUGCAGAAGAGAUCAGCACUGCACUGCAGUAUCUUUCCCUGCCUUUGACACCAGCCUAGCUGGGCAGGGCUUCCCUUGUGCUUCCCAGGACUGGGUUAGGCCAAGAAGAAGAGCGGGCCCUGAAGAGAGGAGGAGAGAGUCAAGGUUGCACGAGCCUUGAGCUGCUACGAGGCUUUUUAGUCAGUAAGCGAGAUCUUCCAUGCUGGGUUUGCCCUGCCAGAUGCAAGCGGCAUGCAUUGCUUGGGAAUAUAUCUAUUUUUAAAGAGUUUCACCACAUCUUGCACUUAGCAGUGGCUGUGGGCGAGGGGGUGGUGUGUUCCUCGCAGGAGAAAUAUCCUCGCUCCAGAGCUGGCAUCCCUCCCCUGAAAGCCCGGGGCUGAUUUCAGCACAGCGCUCGCAAUUCCCUCCCAGCGAAGACGCUGGGUUUAGUGCUUGCUGCUGAAGUUGCUCUUGACCUAAGGUGCCUGUGCAGCGCUGCCGCAAGGUGCUUCCCCGCCGGGAUGCAGGGGUCACAGCAGGAGCAGCCUCAUGCUCGUGGGGCUUGCCUGCAGCCCUGCAGCUCCCCUGCCUCCCUUUCCCCCAGGAGAAGCGUGGCUGCUCGCUGGAGAGGUGUUGAAGCCGUUGCUCGCACCACGGGGGUAAGGCUGGAGAAGGCCGCGUCAGGCUGAUGCAGCUGCCCAAGGACGAGCUUGUUCUGGGUGUGUAAUGGCCAAAAUGCAAAGUCCUGUCCAGCCUCCAAGUCACCCUCCUCUGCCUGCCGCCCUGUGAUGCUCCCAAAGCAUUUUUUUUCCCGUGCUGUUUAACCAGCGUCAGCAUGCGUCCCUGCUCCUAGCUUGUAUUUCUUGCACAAAGGUCCGUGCCGAGGAACAGAGGCCAAGUGCGGGUAGCUGUGUGCACAGGUGGAAGGCUGGCGGAGGGCAGACACGUUCUGAACAAGGGGGAACUUAAUAGCUGAAGGUUUAGCAGUUGGAGCAGUUGCUGGUGGUGCUCAGGAGGCCAGCUGGGUGCUGGGUUCAGGGGAAGCAGGGUGAGUGACAACUUGAACAGAUGCAGGCUUUUUCCUCUUUUUUUUUUUUUCCUUUUUUUUUUUUCCCCCUUUCUUCUUUUCAUGAAGCACAGCGCCCUGCCUGUAAAUGCCUCGCCAUGCCCAGAUAUGGCCUGCUCGGGGACGGGCACCUCUAGCUAAAAAAGCCACGGGCAGAGCGACCAGCCCGGGGACGGGGAGCAGCUGGUAUAAAUAAAUAGUGCUCAUUCUCAGCUGCCCUCCUGCCGGCCGGAUUAGGUGGCAUCUGGGCAGCCAGGAGGCGCAGGGCUCGUGACCGCCGACCGCAGAAGUCCCCAAGCAGCUGUAAGGGCAGGAACCACUCCUGCAAAGCCCUUACAUAGGCACGUCGCCCCUGGCAUUUGGGGAGUCGGAUAAAGCUCCCGCAGCAGGAAUCUGGUGACCUAAGAGCGGUCGAGAAUAAAGUUCACCGCAGCAGCCGGGGCAGAGCUUCCAAUCUGGGAAGCGACCCGAGGUUGGAGGCAGGAUCUGGCCUUCUGCUUUUUAACCUGUUGCACGCACGCGAAGCCUGCGGGGACGGCGGAGCUGGAGGCGAGAUGUUGAGCAGAGCUUCCAGUUCCUCUCUCGGACGCAGCGGGUUAAUUUGCUGUCAGAGAGAUUAUUGGAAUCUGAUUUAAUACUUGUGUUUACUUCGGGUCAACAAAUUAAAAAAAAAAAAAAAAAAAAGAAAAACAAGUCUUAAUAAUUUAAGGCACCGGCUUGAUGGGAGCUAAUAGGAAAUAAUGAAUCUCCUGCAGUGGUUUCCCUCCCAGGCUUGCAGGGAGCAUGCAGCUGGUGCACAUCCUGCUCACCUGGCCGCAGCAGAGCCGUGCCUGGGUGCGAGGUCGGCCACACGUGUAGCCAGAGGCUGCAGGAGGCAGCCAGAAAGGAUGGCCUUUUGCUCGAAGGAAGCUCAUUGCCUGGCUUAUUUGAAGUGAAAAGCUGAAGCAGGGAAUGGGGAUGGAUUGGUAGAGUGGGGGAUAUUCCUGUGCAGGUGGCAGCCGGAGGGGAUGUUGUGAAAUAUGUGUAGUGGGGGAUUUGGGUUCUAAAGCUGGGGGUGACUCUGCAAAGUGGGGUCCCGGAUGGGCAGGGGGAUGGAGGCACGGGCAGCCCAUGGAGCAGGCAGGGUGAGAGGGGGGAGCACGGUGCUGAGCAUGGUGCUGUCUGCUUCCAUCGCCGGCACUUGGCACAUGAGCAAAGUCUGUGGCAGCGUACCUCGGGGUCUGUCCCAAAGUGACUGUGGUAUGGGCAGGGGAUGUCUCGAGCCUUUGGGAGAGGUGUGGCAGACGUGGAUAAAGAAAUGGCAUUUCUUUAUCGGCGAAAGGCUUCACCAUUAAUUUAAUACAGGGGCUUUGUCCCCCCCUUCCUCGCUGUGUCAGGGCCGUGAUGCACUGUGCGCUGCACCAGCUUGCGUUCUUUAAAUUAAGCUAGCUUUGUCCUAAAGCCUUGUCUCGGAGAUAAUAAGGCAUACACACAUACGCACCCGCUAAAAUCCAUUGUGCCAUUUUUGCAAGGAACAGCAAAAGUUGCCCGUGUGCCUUCCCCUCUCUGUCCUCCACACUCAUUUGGCCUAUUUGAAGCUGAAUUUAUUCCUGGGAAGGUCCCCAUCAAUUUGCUUUGCUCUUUUGUUGACAAGUUUAUUAAAAACCCGGGCAACUACAUAUUAAACUUUUAUCAGUGUCGAGGAAGAAUAUGUCCUUUGAGCGGCCACAAAAGUUAUGGAUUGGGUCUGAACAUUUCUUGUUCCACCGGCCGGCUGAGUCAGCGUAACAAAUAAAAGCUGCCACCUCUUUUUUUUUUACUCUUUCUUGAGAGACAGUUCUCUUACCGGUGUAAGUAACGGUAGCAAUAAUGCAGGAAGGUUUCAGACCUGGGUAAACGAGCUUUUUUUUCUUUGCUCCCAUCAGUCCUUGUUGCUGAUUUGAAUUAUUAACCUAAAACCAGAAUAAAAUAAGAGCCCGGGGGAUGGUUAUUGCUUCUUAGCUCAGAGCCAACAGUUUGUGUAAAAUAACUGAUACUUUGCAGAUGUUUAUAGGAAAAAAUAGCCCUGGAAAUUAAUAACAUUUGUUGUACCAGGAGCGAUGUGAGUGGCUUUACGCUUCCGUACUCCGCAAGGGCAUGAGGGAUUUGGAGCGCUGGCCCACGGCGAUGCUCGGCUGGGGAUGUGCCUUUGCAUGGGGAGCGGGAUUGUCGCUCUUUUUCUUUAGGCAUAAGAUUAAACCAGGAGAAGGCCACCGUGUUGCAGGAAAGAUGUUAAAAAUAAAGCAUUAGCAUCGCAUAACCUAGUUCCUGUUUUGCCUCGCGACUGAGUUUUUACAAGUUGAAAGAAGCCUGCAAAAUAAUUGGUGAGAAGUGUUUUGAGCUGCCAGAGCAGCAGACAGGCAGGAGAAAAGUGAACUGAGCUACAGUUCUUAACCUCCGUCGGAUAAAUAAAUAAAUAUCUGUCCCCAAACAACAUAUUUCUUGGCCUGUCACCGUGUCCAAGGAUUUUUUAGUUCUUAAACAGGUUUGCUGGCAUAAUUUGUCAAGUACAACAGGGAGGUUUCUGUGUGACAGAGGAUCAUUUUUCACCACGUACGCUGGGGCACCGAAGCAGUCCUGCAGGCUCUGAGCAGCUCCAUAAUUAGAUAACAGUUAACAUACGUGUAUUAGAGGGAUCAUCAUUCAUGCUAUAGGAUACAGCGGGGCCCGCCACCGCCGAUACCGCGCCAUGCCGAAAGCAAGCAGGGAGCGGUCUGGACAAAUACGUCUUACUCCAGGAGUUUAUCUGCAUCACCAUUUGCUCCAAUUAUAACUAAUUGGACACAUAUUGCAUUUUCAUAGCAUCUAAUUUUCUAUUGAUUUUAACGGGACUGCUGGUAUUUUGUACUAUUAAGUGGUAUCUCGUAGCCGUUGCUGUUUAAAAAUGCUGAGUGCACUCCCCUGUAUGGAAUUAUGCAGUCAGCAGAUGUUUUAAAACCUGUUUAAUUGUUCGGUCCAUAAAAUGCACAAACUGUAUUAGGGAACGGCUUUGUUCUCUUUGAGUGUGUGAGUUUGGAAAUCCAAAGUGAAAACUAUUUCUGGCCAUGGUUUCAGGAGGGGCAGCUCCCAGCAGGAUGCUCAGAGCCCUGCUCGGAGCCACGCAGCCUCCGAGGGCUCCUCAGCCCUGGCUUGGGCUUUGCAGCUCUCUCCAGGCAUGGGUGCUCUGCAUUUCUUGGUCUGUGUAAAAAUAAGGACCUUUAUCUACAAGGCCAAAAAUCUGUAUUAAGACAGAGUUGUUCGCAUUGAGAGCCAAGGAUUUGAUAAGGUCACUUUUGGUCUCCUGUACGACUGAGGACUGAGCUGGUAAUUGGUAGGGUUUGGGGCUUUAUUCUCUGCCAGAGAUAUUGCUGUCUGCCUUGGCAAUACAUCCAAAUAAAACCGGACUAUCAAAUUAGCCAUUGCAUUUCAGCAAAUACUCAGUGAAGCAGGAUGAAAGCAAUAGUCCUCUGUUCAGCAUCAUUUAAAGAAGAAAAGAUUUAAACGAGAUAUUCAGUGGAGGAAUGGAGAGGCGGCCUGGAAAAAGCUUUUCCAGCAGUGCACAUUUGAUCGUUACAAGCACGGAGGAGACUUGAACACUUUGGAUAUUGGUAUUAAAGGUAGAUAGGGAAGGUAAAAGGUGAUGGGAUUUGUGUUUCGGGGCAGCUGAUUUGCCCGGGGUGUCUGGGGGCUGCCGUCAGCCUGCUGCCUUCGCCAGCCAUUAGCAGGAACCGCAUCGUGUCUGUGGGAGACAGGUGAGUUCACAGAGGUGUAUAAACUAAAUAGACACUUUAUUAAGUUCAGGUAAUAGUUUUGAAAGACUGAGUGGCUACUGCACUGUCAGCAACUACUUUAGUGCCCAAAGGAACUGAGUGCUUUUUAAUUAAGUCAAAUAAAAUCCAAGCGGAAGACUCCCCAGCCUUGUCUGGAGCAUACUUUUUGGGUUGAAUACCUAUAAUUUUAGAAAUGUUAAUAAAACACAGUCCACUUUUUCCCUGUAAUAAUAUAAAUUAAAUUAAUAUUUGAUGUCUGUAAGAAGAAGGAUAAAAGCAAUGAGGUUGUAUUUUCUGGCUUACAAAUGGCACAGUGUGCAGAAUACAGCAACUAUGGCAUUGAUUUAAACAUCCUUGCAAAGACACCAUGCAAUAAAGUUGAAUCAUCUGCAGUACAGGUACGGCUGUUUGGGGGAAAAAUAGCCAAAUGAGAGAGUAGACAUUUUCCUGUAUUAUCAAAAGCCACUUCAUUUGGGGAAAUUUCCUCAGAUUUAGUAACAUUUGGAUGGAAAUCAAAUAACACAUUAACUUCAGGAAAGGGGAAAAAAAAAACCUUCCAAAGCUAAUUACAAAGGGAAUGUGCACUUCAUUAAGAUAAAGCUGUAGGAAAUCAAUGUUCUGUAUUGUUGUUUUUUCCUUUUGAUUGGAUUUUAGCAUGAUAAAUUGUUAAUGCAUUUGAUCUAAAAAUGAUUUGUUUAUUCAGAUGAAGAGCAACAGUACUUUGUCUCAUUUGGCCUUUUAGCUUGUAAUGAUAAUGGCUUCAAGAGAUGUUCAUUUCUCAAAAGGGUAUCGGACUGGAAUAGGCAGGAGAUUUCUGGACUCAGAAGGAUGGGCCCUAUGCAAGGGUUCCUUGUAGGCUAAUUCUAUUGCAUGUCGAAUCUUCUGCUUCAUUAGGAAUAUCGACAAAUGCUGAUAAAUUCUUUGGCUUUUCUGUGCUGUCUAUAUAAAAUGUCUUUAUUAGAAUAUUGAGGCUAAAGUGGAAAGGUCUUCAAUAUAUCAGGCCCUUUUAUGUUGCCUACUCCUGAUCCCACUUGCCGGGGCAGUGGUUUGCUAAUGCAGGGGUUUUGUCCUUUCUCAGGACUGUAAUCACUGUCAGCAAAGCUGGCACCUUGGCCAAAGCAAAACAGGGGCACUAUGCAGGGGCUGACAGAGACAGAAGAGAGACAAUCAGGUUCAUUUUGUUAUUUUGGCUUGGAUUUGCCUCUGAGGCACGUUCCCAUGUCUCCCCACUGCCGUCCUGCACUGAGCUGGGGCUGUUCCCAGCUGGGGCUGUGCUGGUCCUGCAGGCAGGGCUUGGAGAAGGGUCCUGAUGAGGGUGGCAUCAGCAUCUGGUCCUGGUCCUGGGGACAGAGCAGCCAGAAAAGACCUUUUCAGUGUGAUACCUAAAUCCAAGCAUUGCCAGGCUGGAUGCGGAUGACCUUCAGACAGCAAACCUAAAUUUGGCGGUGCUUGAACUUGGGACAUGGCCUCAGUGGAAAGGGAGACUGACUCCAAAACCCUGCCUGGCUGUGUCAGGGGUGAACACAGCUUUGUGGGAGAGAUGAGCAGCUUCUGCACGGCUCAGACCUUUGAACACCCCCAGCAAAGCCCCUGCAAUUCAUGCUGGCCAUGCCCAGGCUGGUCCGCACGGAGGCUGCAGCCCUCAGCAGCUGAUGGUGUAGGAUGCUCUUCCUCAGUUGCUGGGAAUGCCUCACCACCAGAGACAUCAUUAGUUGUGAUUAAUGGCGUACAGAAGAGAAAAACUAAUUUUCUAAAAAGGAAAACCUCACCCAUAACUCACUGCGGAGAAUUCAAACAAAACAUUACAGAAUGCCCACGUGUGCUCACAGUGAUUAUAGAUGUGUUAUGGGGCACUCACUCCCUGAAGCAAAGCCAGGGGAGUGGGGCAGCACCCAUCUCUGGCAGAAGAUACUCACUCUAACCCCCUCACUGCCCCAAAAAAAUGAUGGGACAGGGACAAAGCAAGGACAUUUGGAGAGCCGAGCAUGCUUCAGGUGUGCAAUGCUGAUGCUUGGGCAGCCCACUAACCCAAAAUCUAUGUGCUGGUCAGGGUUUAGCUUGCAGGCUCAAUGCAGCAUUGGUCAUCAAUGGCACUUCCACCUUCCCCCAAUCACCGGCAAAUAAUUACUUUCCUCUGCCUCCUAUAACUCACCAAAGGACGAAUUUAAUACUUCCAGGUCUUCACUGUCUAAGUUUCCAUUUAGUUCCUUGGCUUGAUUGUCUCCUGAAAAGGUACCUAGAGAUAACUCGACUAAAUUAAUUGUAGAGCUCUUUUAAAAAAGCUGUUCUCUCUCUCUUUCUCUCUGUCUCUCUCUCCAUUUAUUUAUAGGCAGCUUAGAGUAACGGGGCUGGGCAGUUAAGUGAUCCGCAGUACUUACUGCUACAAUGCAAAGCCCACGUUUCUUGGGGAGUAAUAAUGCUGGCCCACUUGCAAUAUUUCUGCUUGCAGUGGUUUGCAGUGCAGGUGCCUUUUCCCAGUGUCAUCUUGCAGUGUGGUGGGCUGUGAGAAAGAGGGGGGAAAAGUCACCUUUGCCUCGUGACGCAUAUAAAUUCUUUAAAUAGGUUAUGCACAUGGCAACAUGCAGUAGCUGUGCGUGGCGCUGGGUGAAGAAGGAAAGGCCUGAAUUUAUUGGCUCCUGCUGCAGAAAUGAUCAGAGCUGCUGCGAUUUUAAAAUGUGAUUUCCCAAGUUGUUUGGAGCAGUGGGGUGCUCAUGCGGCUGGGUUCACAACCAGAGCCAUUGCUUGAGUACCGCAGGCUGAGAUGCAGCAGGGUCACCCCAUUUCCUCCUCCAUCCCAUCCCUUCCUGUUGGUUGCUGCUGGUGGCACAGCCUUUGCUUGUCUCAAGCAGAUCUUAAAGCCACAGAAAACAUUGAUUUUUAAGGGCACAUGAGAAAAUACUAGGGGCUGCAGGGCAAGGAGACUAACCUGAGCCUCUCCACUGUGGUGGCUCUGCCAUAGCAGGGGAUGCUCUGUGCUGGACCUGCUGCUGCUGGCACGUGCCUCUUGAGUCACUCAAACACAGGGCACAGAGGAGGACAGCAGAUGCUAAAGCUCUGAAAGCAGAGAAACGGGAAGUGACAAUUAAAGUACCUGGAUUAAAACAGUAGACUUUACUUACAUCGUGAUGUGGUAGCAAUGCGGCUUCAAAACAGAGCCAAAUACUGGCGUUAAAAAUGCUACAGGCUGGUGGUCACUGCUGCAGGCUAUUCGAGCGCUAUUAAAACUGCCUCUUUAAUUCAGACCGGCUCUUCAUCCAUAGCUGCUAAGAAGCUUACAUAAAUCCUGAUUGCCUGAAAGUGAAGCCAUUUGAACCAGUGCAGCAUCAGGCAGCGAGUUCAGAAGAGGUCCCGGCGGCUGUGAAGGAAAAGACCCCAAGGAGUUCCCCUCUUUGCUUUGCAGACCGUGAGGCCAAAUGCUUUGCUAAAGCUGGUAAAAUGGAACCAAAUCAACUGUUCAAUGGAUUUGGUCCCCUUCAACCAGCUGUAGCUGUGCAUUGAUCUCUCAGACUCACCUCGGAGGUUGGACCGGACCGAGACAAAUCAGGUAGCAGAAGACAGAUGGGCACACGAGUGCUGCCGAUAAGGAGAUGAUGAUGAUGACUGGUAUCUGCAGAUCUAUCACCCGGGCUCUAAACUGGUGGGAUGAGCCUGAGUCAUUAUGUGGUUGCCAGUCAAUCCUGCGUAACGGAGACCUCUCAAGAUUGAUAAUCUCUAUCGUCCUCCUCUAUUGAUCCCCGCUGUGAUUCAGGUCUGUGUAUUUCAACUGCAAACGCUGUGCGUUUUCACGUGUAUUCACUCAUGCCCUCCUGGGAGCACCGUGCCUCGAUGUUUCAUCUACUGCAAUGAAGAAUAAACAUUUUGGUCUGAAGUUCCCUCCUUGUGUUUUGUUCCAUGCGCUGUCCUGCUCAUUUCGUAGGCUCAAGAGAAGAAAUGGGAGUAAUGUGGCUGCCCCAGCAGGGGAUGGGUUGGGAACACCAGCUGCUUCCCAGUUGCCCCAGACCACAACUAUCCACAGCCUGUGCUCUGCUUAGAGGUUCAGGAGAUAACCACUUUAUUCCAGAAAGGGUUUCCAGUAUGAUUUUGUUGGCUUUAUGCUCCUAAAGAACUCUGAGGGUCUGCGUUCUGCUCCUUAUAAACACUAAUGUCAUGCUAAUGGACUUAAAGAAAAUCACUCGCUUUCCCGUGUAAUAAUGAUUGGUGGGAAAGUAAGCUGGGCAUCAUCUUUUCCUAAGUAUUGUAAAUCUAUAGGACUAUCACGAGCUAUGAAUAUUGCUGGUGUAAUGAGCCAUUUGGAUGCAAAAGUCUGAUGAGAGUUGGUUCAUGUCUUUACACCUGGCUUAAGGUAACCCCUGGCGUUAAGGAAAGCAGAGAUUUGUCUCCCUGCACACCUGGGAAAUUUGGGUCACUUCACUCCAGGUCCCUGGUCCUUUAGGUACUGUUUAUAUGUUCUUAUUAGGACCAAGAGUAUUCAAGUGUUUUAAAAUAAGGAGCUAUUGGCUUAAUGUACGUCUAAUAUUUAUGUCACUGGGUGUUAAAGGCAAAGACAUCUCAGAAGCAUCAAGUAAAAGCAUCACGGGAAGCAGCAAGGAGCAUGUGAGCAGCAGCGGCUGAGCAAAUGUCACCCUAAUGCUGUCAAACCCAAGAUCCAUACCCAAGGAAAGAUGGGGAUGAAAGCAUGAGGGAAAAGAAACCCACAGCACAAGUCCCUUGUUGCUGUCAGUCUGGGUUGUGAGUGAUAUCAGGACUCCAGAGGAAGAGGUUGGGUAGAAACAGAUGUUUCCAGCAGGCUGGGGCCUGGGUUUCCACAAUACCACGCUCCUCCCUCCUGCUCCUGCAGCCUGGGUUAUUCUCCCUCGUUCCCCAGGGCUGCAUCCAUUGUAAACAACACUGUUAUUAAAAUUCCUCCUCGGUAAUGAUAAUUAAGUUACUAAAAGUUGUCAAAUGGGGAAGCUGGAGGCACUGCAAUUGGAACAAAACCUCGGAAUGUAAAUGAAAAUGUUUUCUCCUGCAAGAAGCGUGGGUGGAUAAGGGCCCACCUGCUGCAGUGGCUUGGGGUGAUUUGUCUUCCUAACGGGGCUGCCAGGCUCUGGCUGUCGGCACCUACACAGAUCCCAGACACAUGUGUUCCUCUACCGGCAACCCUGAAAGCAUUUGUUGCCCCCCAAAUCCGUUCCCACUGGAAGAGUUCUGGAUAUGUGUGGGCACAGCAGCUCUCACAGGGUCACUUUAUACAGGGACUACACAAUAUUUUAUUAUCCAGUGUGGUUUUCCUACAAUGUUGUCACACUCCUGUGUCUAGACACACAUGGCCACUCUACAAAUCUGGGUGCCAAAACUUCACCUUGGGCCAGAUUUAGGUAUCCCCAGAGCCAUCUGAGCCCUGAAUAGUGGGAAUCAUCCAGCUCUCCUGAAGCCAGAGGAGAGAUGACUAUUGGGGGAUUACAAAAGUCAGGCCGUGUAUUCCUGAGGCUUAAUGUGGGUCCCACCUUCAGGCACCCAUGCUUGAAAAUUUCUGCCAGUAAUUUUAUUGUUUAAUUCUAUCUUUAUGAGAUAGGGAAUUCAAUUCACUUAACAAGGAAUUUCUAUAACAAUACAGACUAUUAUGGUCUAAUCGAGGCAGUGCGAGGCCCAAGCAGAAGGCAGCUGGCAGGCUCUGGGGGAACUCUCCUGGGACUGCUAACAUAUAGGGACAAAUCUAAGAUCUGGGCCAAAAAAAUUGCAGGUAUCCCUCCCAACAGUCUGUCUUUCAGCUCAGCUCACUCCCCAAUCCCUUCUGAUGCUCUGUUUCAGAGCAAAUGGAGCCAGCUCCCUUUCAGCCAGGAGCUGCCCAGGCCGUGGAUCUGCCCACAGACUGAGAAUUGGAUCCUCUUCAAGUUGGUUUCCCAUAAAGCACAGCUCUGAGCCAAAGUUUUACCACUGUCUUUGAAAAACCCCAGGAUCAGGCCCUGGCUUAGUCACCAUAAGCCAUAGCCACUUAGAGGCUGCUCUGAUGGCCCACCAGACCCUGCUGGUUUCCCUGAAAAAAAAGAAACCCUAUUAGCUCCUCAAACAAGGCAAUGCUGAGGACUCUGUCCUUCAAACAUUUUGUGCAAAUAUGAAAUAGCAGUGAAUAAUUAGCAGGAAUAAUCCUUUCUUCUUGACCUCUCCCGUAAUAAAGACCUUUGUCAGCAGAUGCAAAUGUUAUUUUGAGCAGCAAUUCAUAAUCCAGACCUGCUAAACACAUCGGGCUAAAUACACCUGUACUUUAAUAUCCGUAGUGUUUGUACAGGACUUUUAAGUGAGAUAAAACCAGACACCUUAUAUAUCCCACAGAUCUGAGAGCAUUCAACAGUCAAAUUGUAGGAAGAGAAGGUGGCAAAAGAGGCAGGUAAAGAAGGGAAGGAGAAAACUAAGAUAGUAAAAACCAAAGUAUGUAACCAAAUUUAUCUACUAAUUUGGAUUACUCUCCCUAGGGCUCUACACAUGCAUUGUGUGUGUUCUCCAAAAAAACCGUAUAGUCCAAUUAACACCAAGAUGGCUAACAAAAAUCAUAUUUGCUCUUCCCUAAAUCUGUCAUCCCCAUGUUUUUCAUUCCAAGAGAAAAAUGGAAAGGUCUCUUCAGUUUGCUGAGCAGCCAGUGAGCUUUGGACUCUUUCAGCAAGAGGUCCAACCCCUCCUACUCUUCCUCUCUGAUAUCCCAUUUAGCGAUGUCCUCUCUGGAAACUCCCUCAAAUAAGUUAGAGACUGUCCCUCUAUUUUAGGCUUAGACCCACUUUUGCCCUUGAUGAUCUGCAAAUGCAUCUCUGGGUCCAGCAACCAGAUUAGCUGGAUUCUGUCCAUGGAAUUUUACUGUGCACUUCCUUUUCAUUCCAUUUUUUUUUCAUUUUUUUUUUUUUCUUUUUUUUUUUUUUUUCGGAGAAAAAGAAAAAGAAAGGACAAGCAAACCAACAGGUAGAUAAUUGUUCUGUGCUGACAGUUUGUCAAACGAAGGAAGCGCAUUUUUAGUCAAGAUCUACUGUUACUGCAGCACUUGAGCAGAAGUCUCUUCCUUUACUCCCAGAUGGCAUUGACAUAUAGCCUGGAGGGGCUAUCAGGAUACAAAGCUAAAGAUGGUUAAAGACAUUAAAAACUGUACAAUGUGAGCACCAUCUACACCAGGACCAUCAUCCAGGAGGAAGAUUCAUCCUGACAUAUUGUGCAGAAAGCAAAGUGAGCUAAAGGUAUUUUCAAGAUGGACGAAAUUUAUAUAUAUAUACAUUCCUACUCCUAACCAUGCCUUUUCUAGUGGGUCUUUAUUGGCUCUUUAAAAACAAUGGCCAAUAUAUGUAAUGAUCUGCCUUCCUCUUUCUUUCCGGGUGAAUCAUAGCUCCUACAGAGUGUUUAUCACCGAGCGUAAUGGCUGGCUUGAUCCAUUCGUGUCUGACUCCACUUCCCAGCAAGCUAUUGAACGGCUCCUCUUCGUCGCAGGGCCGCCAGCAUUUCCCAGGUCCUGCCAGGGCUCCUGUUAAGCUGUAUAAUAAAUAUUGCACUGAGAACAAGACUGCAACUGUUGACACAGGAUGGAGGGAAUUUGCUUUUCUGCAUUUCUUGAGUUUGGUGCUGCCUAAGUUUCUGUAAUGCACUCGCACAGAGAAUGGACUUAAUAUUCUUGCACUUUUUAAAUAAGAUUCACAGUUUAUACAGUGGGUGCAGCUGGAGGGAAAAAGAACUGCAAAGAGGGGACUUCACCUGCUGGAAAAUAUUCUUUACUUCCCCCAGAAGUGAUGAAAAUGUCAAUACUAUUGACACAAUCACUAAUUAAAACCGACUGCCAUAAUCAUGCAUAUGAUAGCCGUAGGACAUCAGUUUGGAUUAAGUGUAAGCAGCGAGCUGUGCUGCUCAUGGUUUUCAAAAGCGUAAGGGGCUGGGUGAUGGCAUCUUCUGUACAGUCCAGCAGGAGCAGCAGAAGGAUGCUCUCACACAUGGGCUGCUCCUCUGCUGCCCAGCCCCACUGACCUGUGCAACUGCUUGUAUGGUCUGAGCUCUGUGCAACCAUCUUCCCAUGGUGAGGAGCAUGGCCCAGUGAGCCCCUAACCUGCAGGAAGGACAAAAACACGGACAGCCCUGGGGAGAUUCGUCAGUUCCAAAAAAAAAAAAAAAAAAAAAGACAGGAAAAUAAUAUACAAAACAAAACAAAAUAUAACCGUGUCAUUUGUGGCAUAGCCAGCACUUUCCAAGUCUAAGGAUCCUGACCUCCAAACUAUCAUUGUAGAAGUCUAUGAUUUGUAUCCAUCUUCACUUUAAAGCAUAGGAUGAAGUGUAAAGCUGUCAAUAGAAGAGAAAAAAUAUAUAUAAUAAAUAAAUAAAUAGAUAAAUAGAUAAAUAGAUAAAUAGAUAAAUAGAUAAAUAGAUAAAUAAAUAAAUAAAUAAAUAAAUAAAUAAAAGGGAUUUUAAGAAAGCAAGGGAUAGCCAGAAAAUAGCUGUUAACUAACAGCCAGGCAGAGACUUAAACUUCCUAAACCUGGGAGAAAAAAUUAAAUCCGGAUCCAGAGUUUCUGCAUUGUGGCUCAGGUCCAUGGCUGGCAAUCAUAGAGGAUUUGUCUAGUAAAUUCAGCUCAGCCUGACUUUGCAGAUUCCCUGUGGGUAACUGCCCCCUUGAUGCUGGCGGGAGCAGGGCUGCAGAAAUGCCGGUGCUCACGGCUGAAGCCUCACCAUCGAUCUGCCAGCAGCAUCACUGCAGCAUUGCUCAAGGCUGCCCUGGGCUCGUCCAGGGCUCCAGCACCCUUAGGAGGGAGUUGGCAGGUGUCUGGCCCCUGGUUUAGGCAGAAUUGGUCACCAGAGCUUUUCAGCUUGCAGCUGUGGUUGCUUUUUUUUGCUCUUCUGAAUAGGCAGGGGGAGGCUGAAAAUGCCCAGGGGGCUGCUGCUGGCAUGGAUGCUGAUGGAUGCGAUCCCAUCCUUUCCCUAGGACAACUUGGUCUCCUGGAGCUGAGCCUGCUGUGACGACCUGGCGUCAUGCUGGGGAUGUGCCUUUCCCUCUCACCUGAUUUGGGAGUGCCGAAGGCUUCCCAGUAACACAUUUUCUUCAUUUUAAACCUUUGUUAAAUCCAGCAAGCUCUUUGACAUUGGAAACUUUUAUGUGCUGUGUUAGUAGGUUUUCAAGCAUGAACGAAUUGAUUCAUGAGUGGAUAAAUCUGAUGCAUCUUUUAAAUGGAAAACCGACGUAAUUUUCCAUCAGAGAUCUGCUAAUAAAGCACAUUUACUUGGUUAAUCCAUUUUUUCCCCCUCUGUCCUAAGUGCACAACAUAAGGUAUAAAAAUAUCAAAUCAAUAGUCAAGGAGUAUAUACAAAUGAGUGAUCAGAAACCCUGCAUGGGCCACCUUUUGGUUGGCUUCUUGUAGGACUCAGGUUUGUGUUCCUGCUGCCUGAAGCCUGCUCCCAAAAUCGUCCUGAGGCUGCAGUGCUGCAGCUGUCCUUACAAGUCCCAGGGGACAGCGGGUGCAAAGCCACCUGCGCCUGGGUCCUCAUGGCACCAGCACUCCUGCUUUUAGAAGUAACUAUGGUAAAAGGUGUUGUUUUUUUUUUCCCCUUUAUUCAUUUAUUACAAUGAUUAUAUUUAUUAUCGCAGAAGGAGCUGGGUAGCGGGAAUGUGCAUAAAAGACAAAGGCACCUUCCCGUUCAGCCUGCCAGGCAAUCUGCACAAACUCCCCUUCUUACUCUUCUCUUGGAGUACGGCCGUGUUAUUUCAAAGGAAAUGCCUGCACAGCCUUGUCUCUGCAAACACCGCAGCCGUCGUUCGAUCGGCGCAACUCUCUGGUGUGAGCUCAUUUACCACGCGGUUGCUUCGCAGGCUGUGGAGAAUUGCCUCGUACCUAAUAAUUCUGCUAAUUUGCUUAACUUGCCCAGAUUGCAAACUGCCUGGCCCUGAACAAGCAGCUUUCUAAAUGAACCCCUAGACGAUUUCUUGACAAGAGGGGAUAGGAAAGGUGGCUGGUUGGGGAAGCUGAAGCUCACGGCCUUUUUAUUUUUGACCUUUGGGCCAGCAUUCAGAUUUGCUUAUUGGGAAAACUGCACUCAAAGUGUAUUUUCUUCAGGGAUUUGCAAUACCCUUUUGCUUCUAAUUAUUCUCACUUGAUGUCGUCCAUAAAUUAGUUAAAGAUGCUUCUAUUAGGGAGUUCCUGUCCUUUUAAUUAUCUUGCUAAAGCCUCCUUACUGUUGGCACCAGGACUGACAGCCCCAAAAAGCCGUGGGCUGGCAGCUGUGGGCAGCGAAUUUGGGAGCGUACGUGGGUAAUACAAAAGACUGAGCAGUCCGGGAAAGAAAUGAAAACUGCAGCAAAGGUAAAUGUCAGACUAUUUAAAGACAAUGUUGACUAUUGAUUUUUUAGAGGAGACUACCUCUUCAAAGGAUGGCAAGCGUUCCUUCAGAUACAGAGGAGGCAACUUAGACAGAGGGGAGAGAGAGGGCUGUGAGUGAGCAGGGAGGACGGAGAUUUUCCCAGAGAGAAAAAUGAAGCCUUUAUGAAGCCUUUGGGAUUAAAGACGUGGCUUAGUUCUUUCACAAAAAUCCACCCUUCAACCCACUUAAGCACCGUGCCUUUCCCAAGAAACAAAGGGCAGAGAGGUGCUGGGAAGCACUGAUGAGCAAAAAGGAGAUAAGCAGCCGAGCACUUGUUUCACUGCAGGUUCCCAUGUGAAAAAUGAACCUCCAGGCACCCCCAGCGAUUUGUUAAGUGGCAAAGCUCACCCAAGCUCCUGAUUCUGCCUCCAGCAGAGAUGCUCUUUGCUCACCGAAGCAGCUUGGGCUCGGUAAGCACUGUUCACUGCUCCCACCUGCACCUCCUGGCAUGUGGAGCAAGACCAAAACCACUGCAGCUGCUGCUGCAGGCAUCCCAAAGUGCAUGGGACAGCUAGCAAGAAGCAAAAGCAUCGCUUUUUCUGUACCUGCAGCUAGGAACUUGUGGGAAAUUACCAGCAAAUUGGCAAUUUGGGGUCAUCUUUUAGAAUGACAGGAUGGGCUUUACUUUCAUAUGUCCUAAGGGAAAAUCAAGCCUUGAACAAAAGACGUGUUUGUUUUUUUUUAAUUUUAUUUUAUUUUAUUUAAAGGAAAUACAUAUAUAUAUAUAUAUAUAUAAAACACACAUUAUAUGUAUAUUAAAAUCCAGCAAACAAUUUUAUUGGGAAUCUUGAGUGACUGUGGAAAUAACAUUAUCAUCUUAUGUUACACUGGUGUGUCUCUGAGCCCUGGCACAUGCAAACUACCCAGCUCUGUAGUUGAAUUUAAAUGAAAAGCCUAUUACUUGUAAAUAAAGGGGGCUAGGCUGGUGCAGUAGGUUAAAGUGGAAGGCUUGAUCUCUGUUGGAAUUUAAAGAUUGUAAAAUGCCACUUUGAGGCAUUAUGCAGUUGUGCAGAAACACUUCUUCUGCAGUGCAUCUACUCCUGAGAACAGAUCUGGUCCUAAGAGCUAUUACUACGUGUUUUUAAGGUGCAAUCUGUCAUCCUGUAAGCUUCCCCGCAUGAAAAGCUUCAGGAUCAGGUAUUGAAAGGGCAUCUGCAAGAGCUGCAAAUAGCCUUAGGAGUGAUCCUGGAACAGCCCUGCUCACGGCAGCAGCUGCUGGUGGGGCAACACCGACCUUGGUGGGCUUCGAAGGGGGCAUACGAGAGGAUCAGACCCUCGGCACCCUGCCCUUCCCCUCAAAAAGUGGUUUUGAGAGCUUUGAUUUGAAUAUCAUGAUAGGAUAGGACUUAAAAGCCCUUCUGGCAGCCAGCUCAACUUGCAGAAACCCCCAGUUCCUCACAGAUCCCAAACACAGUGCAAUGCGGUAUGACUGCCUGGGGUAACUUUGGGUUUAGAUGUAUUAUUUCAAUAAGGAGGUCUUCAGACAGCGUUAAAUGACAGAUGAUAUAAUUUCUGAAUGUGGUGUUCAUCUGAAUUUUAUUUUCUGAUGUUUUGACUCAUUGACUUGAUGUCUCUCCAUUAUGCACACACCUCUGGAGAUGUUGCUGGCAAUGAUUAUGCGUAGCAUCAAGUUAGUGAAUAAAACCACUCCAGGAACUGCUUUACAGAUCACAGUAUCGUUUUCUCUGUAAUUGUCCCACAAACGGUAGAAGUUAUAUGGAGGGAGCAGUGUUCUCUGACAGACUGCAUAUUUUUGCAGCACGCAUCAGAUCUCACUUUGGCUGCUGAGACUUAUUUCUGAUGGUUCUUGGGGAUUUAACUUUAAGACCAAUGUAUUUUAGUAUCCAUAUACACUCCACUCUUCAUGUCAUCCGGCAGCACCGGAGGAUGAGCUGUCUCCUUAAUAUGGAUGAGACACCAAUUUAUCUAAGUUAUCGCCUCACAAUCUCUCAUUCAUCUCUGCUGUUAAGUGCUGUGUUUCUGACACCCGUACCUAAACUAUCAGCAACUUCUCCUUCAAUUGAAACCAUAAGUAAUUUUUGGCUGGAAGUUCUUGUUAUGUGUAUAAUGGCUUCUUCAUCUCCCAGCUGGAAUUUGAUGAUCAGGUGACUGAAUCAGGCUCUGGACACCUAUUAUUAAACCCACAGCAUCACACUGGCCCACUCAGCAUGGUAAAUCAAAAGUCAGGGCAUCUUUCCACCACCUGAAAAUAUAUGGCCAAAUUAACACGUCCCAGGCUCACUUUGAACAGCACUGCAGCCCUGCGUGACGGCCCAGGCGUCUGGCUGCCAACUCAGCAAAACUUUCCCCCUUCCUGAUGCACUCCCAAACCUGCAAAACUUAGCCCUACUCCUGAUAUUCUCUUUAUAGAAGCUCCCGCUGGUAUUAUGUAUCAAAUAAACCUCUCAUUAUUUAGUUGCUGGUUCCUUCGUGCCGUUGCUCUCAUUAAUCAUCCUGUUCUUCAAGCCCGUGCUACAAGCCGUUGGGACUGCCUCGGUGCACACCCCUCAAUUAGAGGUUGUGUCCCCUGCCCCUCCAGGCUGGUGGUUUCCAUCCCUCCACCCACCUUGGGGAGCUCAUGGGGUCCAGCCCCACAUUUCUGGGGGCCUUUUGGCUGGAGUCCCAGUGCCAAAAGCCAUCUCCCUGACCUGGGAGCACCUGGGGAUGCUCCUGCUGCAAAGGGCCCUGAUUCGUGCCUGUGUUUAGAGAUGCUCCAAGGAGGCAAAAUGAAAAACUCUUUGGUUGUGCCCCAAAUCUGUUCAAUUCAUCCCCAACAUCCCUUCAAAAAUUCUUCCCAACAAUUGAGGAUAGGGAAUCUGCACCCUCUGCCUCCCUCCUGCUUGGCUUCACCUCCAGGAUCCAGCACAGAGGGUGCCUGGGUGAGCCCCAUGCCCUGAACCCUCCUCUGGCAGAACAACCCAGAUCUUUUUUCCCUCCCUUCCUUGCACCAUGAAGCAGCAUUUUUCCCUGCAACACAGGACCUGGGGGGCUUGCCACUAUCUCUAGGUAAUAUUUUUGGGAAGCACAAGUGUCUUACUUAAAGCUCUGGAUCCUAUUUCCCUUUGUGCUGAGGAUGAAAUGCAAAGAGACAGAAGAACAGAGGAGAGCAGACUCCCCUCAGCUGUAAGAAUUCACCAAAUCCAAUGGUUUAUUCAUUUUAAUUACCCUUGGAAUUCAUAUGUAUGCAUAUAUAUAUGUACAUGAAUUCAUAUAAUGACACAUAAUUAAUUUAGAGUUUGGCAUUUCAGAACAGGUAAUUAAAAUAGUUCAUUGUUGAUUAAUCACUUGCAAAAUAAAUUAUUAGCAAUAUCACUGUUAGCAUUAUGUUUAUUACUACAAUUUAGAGAAAUUAAGGCAGUUCACUUACAUUAAAUUAAACAUGAAAGCACAGAUGUAAUGUACCCUAGACAAUAUCUAUUUACUCAGAGAACAAAUGUGAUGUGUGCAUUACAGUACAUUUGCUAGGUCAUACAUCUUGGAUGGCCUCUUCAUGUCACCACCAGAAACCUAAUACCGACACACGGACAAUUCCCGUCUCUUUCCGUAAAUACAAAAAUAGGCUCUGCUGGCCCUCAGCCCCUGCUUGGCACUGCAGCGUGCUCCAGGCAGCUCUGCGGGAUCUGCGGGUGCUGCAGGAUGCUCGGGUCUGCCUGGAGCAGGGAGAGGAGGCAGCCCAGGCAUGGGGAGAAAGCGAGGACAUGAGAGGCUGUGCCAUAUGCAAGCCCACAAAACCCACAAACGGCAAAGAAAAGCAAACUUUCCCAUCCUCAGCAUGCCCCCCAGCCACUCUUAUGAGCCAGAUUAUGGCCAAACUGCACAGAAAUUGAAUAAAUCUCAGCAUGACUCACUGAGGUGCUAAAGGCUUAAGCAGAUCGUUUAAGCAUAAGUUGAAUUUGAUGCUUAACCAUACCAUUUAAGUUGAAUUAUUUUUAAUCAGCUGUGCUCUCUGCUGGGGUGGAGAGAGACUUUGUCCUACGAGGAGAUAAGCAUCCCUUGCUUCUGACAAGUGUUUUGUCUGGAGGCCAUUCCAAGAGGAGUCGAAGGGAGCAAUGGGGAGAAGUCAGUAGAGAUGAAGAGGAUGCAGAGCUCCUCGUGACAUCCUCUUUGGAUCUGUCUCUCCGUGGCUUUAUAGCUAUGGGAAAUAAUCUAUAAUUAGGUGUAUAAAACAGCUCUCUGAUCUCUUUGCUUCUGGCCCAAAAGAGCACAAAAUUGAUAACUCAAUUAUCGCUGCUGGAAAUACAAAUAAAUUAAAGGCACAUGGUAGGAGGAACUCCAGUGGAGGGACACCCAUGCCACACAAAGGCUGCUUUGGAAUUGAGGGAUUGCAAAGCUGCCAGGGGUCAGGAUGGAGGGGACUGGGUGCUUUUCCCCCUCUCACCCCUCCAGUGGGGGCUGCUUGGGUCUGGUGGCCUCUGAGCUAAGGGCAGAUUUGGCAAAAACACCUGGGGACAGCAACAGCACUGUCACAACUGGACCCAGGAGAAAAAAAAACAGGGUGAAAGCUUCCUGAAAGAGGCAACAUCAUCCUGGGAGAGAGCGGCUUCUCGAAAGGGUGCUGAGCUCAGCUUGGUUAUGGGGGUGAGGAAGAGCAGGGCUGGGUUUAAACAGUUCUCCACAGAAGAAAAUAAUGAGUGCCUAAUCCUUUCCCCAGCAAAUUCCCAGGAGUUUUCAUUCUGAAUUUACAACCAGAGCAGUGUAGGAUAUCAGGGGUCUUCUUCAUUUUCUGCCAAGUCAUCUAGCAUUUACACAAAACCCUCUCUCCGCUGAGGUUUGUUUUUAAUGACUCCUGGGCUGAAUUAACAGUCUGUGCCGGUGUGACAAUGACAAUAGUCGCUAAUGACCACUCUGUUUGCCUAAGCCACAUGCUGAGCACUGAUUUCUGUCCCUGCCUCAGAUUCUCUUUACAAAAGGGUUUCUGGCUCUUUCAAAGCAAUUUAAAAUGUGGAGGAUGAACUGGCCUGUCCAUCCCUUUGAUAUUCUGCUGCCUGGAAGUGUCCUGGGGCCUACAGGGAGCAUCUGUAGCAAGGUGUGACCUGGAAUGCUACCAAGAGCAGGAGAAAAGCCUCUGCAUUUCAUAUCCCAUUCGGCUGACCAACUCACUAACCAGGGAAAUUAUAUUUAAACAACCUUUGAUACAAUCCCAACCAGAUCAGAAGGGCAAGUGCAGUUUCAUGGAAAAUUCCAUUUUUAUGCUGCAGCACACUUUGGGAUCCCACGGUGCAGACACGGGGUUUAGUGUAAAGUGGAACACAAAAGCACUCAGCUUCCCCAAAACCUUUGUGCCAUUUCCAAAGCAUCCCCCCAGCUUGUAUUGAACAAGACAUUUGCACCCAUGGCAUGGAGGAGGAAGGGAAACAGUGAGCUUUGUGCAGUGUCAUCGCUUGGUUCAAAUGAUGCAAAGCCCAACCAGGACCACCAGCACCAUGCAGGGGAGGAGGCAUUGACUGGAGAAGGUGCCAGCACUGCUUACAGCACCUACCAUUCCUCCCCUUUGCUCUGGCCAUGCUGCUGGAUCAAAAGAGAUCAGCACAAUAGCAUUCACUUUAUGGCCCUGAUUUUUUUUUAUUUAGGCAGCAGCAUCGCCUGUGAAGAAGCCAGGUGCACGUCAUCCUUCCUCCCUGCCCAUUGCACGGGGCAGACAUUCAAGCAAUUCUAUCCAAAAGCUUUUAGCUCCAGUAACUGAUGAUUUAUAUUUGUGCCAUAAUAGUCAGAUAUAGCAAUAAUAGGAAGGAUUUAAUUGUUUUAAUGAAAGUAGCUUUUUCUGCAUUUGAAUCAAUUUACUAAGUUUGGAUGAGGGAAUAUAAGAAUGGAUUUAGCUGUGCUUUCCGUGUGCCCCUAACAAAAAAGCCCAAGCUAUUUCAAAAAAGUCACUUGACAUACUAAAACUCUUAAUAACUAAUAUCUGCAUAACUAAAGGCAAUAGGAGCAGCCCAACCUGAAGAAAAAGGGUUUUGCAGGAAUUAGUGUCUCGCUGUCACAUUUGUAAAAGGGACAGAUGCAUUUUUCAGAUCUUUGCACAUUAAUGGCUGUAUUUGAUUCAAAAUACAGUCAGUGAACCCUCAGUAAAUGGAAUUAAAUGGUAUGUGUCUGAUUUGAGGGUGACAAUCCACCAAUUGUUUCUUGUUUGAAUUACUACCUGCGUGGCUGGGCACAGCAGUAAUUGAAACUAUAAUGUUUCAUUCCUCUUUAGCUAUAAUUUAUCUGGAAAGUUCAUUCACUGCUGUUCCGUUCUCCCUCCUGAAAUCUCUCCCUUGAUCGUUAUCGUGCUGUCGGGCACUGCAUCCUUCCAGCACACCCAGAGCCAGACCAGUUCAAGCAGAGGGAUGCCCAGCGUUUGGCUGGACCUGCCCCAGGGGAUUCGGUGUAUUCAGUCCCAGGGCUCUGAUUUCCCUUUGGCUGGGAGCUCGGGGGAGCCCAUCCUCACAAGGCACCACAUAUUUCCCAUCAAUACCCCAAAUAUACGAUGGCUUUGGGACCAUCUUAUGGACAGGCCAAUAUUCAGCAGCACCAGGUGCUGAACAUUUUGGGUGGCCAGGACAAUCAGCUGAAUGGAGGAGUACCAGAGGUCGCUCUUUCUGCUGUUUGUGACUUUCUUUUCUACUUUGCCCACUUCUUGAAUACUACACAGAGGUGGGCUGUGGCUGCCACAGUAGGAUCAGUGCUGGGAAUAUGCAAGGGAUAACAAAUAGAUUUCCUCUCUCCCGACGCUACCCAUUUAUGAGCAAUUUCUAGUCUGUUUUCACCCAAUAUUGAUAAACAGAAGAAAAUGGAAUGUAUUUUAUUCACCCAUAAAGUCUGACAUUUCCAAAGAUGGAAUCAAAUUAUCCUCCUCGUGUCUCUGCAGCUAGCUGGGCUGCUGGCUAGAUACGCCUGUGCACUGCAGAGCAAUGACACCGAACUUCUGAGGGUUCAGAAUGAGCCAGUCUGAGACAAGCAGGGACAUUUUCCUUACAAAAAACACAAAUCACAAAAUCCAGAUUUUCUGUCACAGGAUAGCAGCGCUUUGUUCUCCCACCCUGGGACCAGGAAAGCCUCGAACUCUCUGUCAGCAGCAGGGCUUGCUCUUCGCAGAGGUAUUUCUACAGAAGCUUUUGCAUCUUCUUCAGCUGGUACCACGGCUGGUGUUCUGGGGGUGAUUCAAGUGAUGAACUUUGGACUUUGGCCUCUUUUUGGGGGUGAUUCAGAUGGAAAUCCUAUGUGGCUCAUGUUCAGGCUGUCUGGGAAUGUGGCAGUGAUGUGAGAAAUUGCAGGCAGGGGUUUAAGCUCCCCUCUACCUGCAGGCACAGAGGGGUCUGGGUGGAGGCACAAAGAGGGAAUCAUAGGAAAGAGGACUGGGAUUUAAAACAGAUAUAAAGCUGCUGGUUCCCAAAGAGCCCUGAUGAGCCCAGGGAGUGUUCUUGUCAGAUCAGAGCCCUGGGGCUGCUCCCCAGACACAAGACGUGCAGAGAUGCUCACAGCAGGCACUCCUGGCACCGCUUUACCAACCUGCACUUCUGCUGGGGCGUCCUGGCACCUUGACAAGACAUCCGCGCUCGAGACCAGGCUGAGCUAAGAGGAUGGGUGGGGAAUAGAAAUGAGCAAGGACAGACCAGCAUCUAAAUGUGGAAGGAACGUGGCAGCCAUGAAGAGAGCUGGGGAAGUGUGGGGAUGCGGCGAGACGAAGCACAUGGAGGACAGGUGCUGAGAUGGGAACACAUCACCCACAGGCAAUUCUUUCCCUGGGCAAUUUUCUGCAUUUCUGUUCCAGCACUGGAAGGACCCCUGGGCCCUGCAGUGAAGGCAGAGCAGGGGAAGAAACUCUUCUCUCCUCUGCCCUCCCCUGUACCCAAAGGCUCCUGAGUUUCCCCUUCCAAAGCUGAAGAUGUCACAUCCACCAGCCCUGGCGUGGCUCUCAAUGGCCUUGAAUGCAGUAAUUCAUCCAGGUGCUCUGCUUUGAUCCAUGCGCUAUUUAUUUUCUCCACGUAAAUCCUCAGCAACCAAAGCAAUCCCAGCUGCCUCAGGUGGGGAUUUCACCCUCACUGAGACCUCCAGGGUUGGUCUACACCAUUGUCUGUCCCCUCCAUCAAACUGCUGUGUGUACACAUUGUCUGUGAGGGGCUGUGCUUUGGGGCUGGAGUCCCAGCCAUUCUGAUUUAAACCCGACCUUUUGAGGUUUACCUCUAAAAUAUUCUUUUUUUGCUCACCUCAGAGUGAAGGCUGAAUAAUUGGAGCAAGUGGCUGCAUUUCUCAAAAUAAAACCGGGAUUUGUAAGUGCCA
This is a non-coding RNA of Anas platyrhynchos (mallard), 28234 nucleotides long. Lineage: Eukaryota; Metazoa; Chordata; Aves; Anseriformes; Anatidae. The record is from RefSeq and is a predicted model, not a curated record.